AAAGGGGAUUGGCUGUCGUCAGCUCCCGGCAGGAGAGUGAUGGGCGUCUCUUCCCAUCAAUGAGGGAAGCGAAAGAAGGGCCUUAGGAAGAAGUACCGUUCCCCCGGCGAGCGAGCUCUUUCGGGCGAGGUGGUCUCUCGGCUACGGCGGCAGGAGGCGGGCGUAGUGCUGCAAAGCCCAAUGGAAGAUGAGUAGUGGCGUGACGGGCAGCCGUCGUCGUCGAAGGGGUGACGUUGGUCCUUGCUGGUGGGGCGCGGGCUCUGCCUCUUCUCCUGCGGCGCCGGGCGUGCGGAGGGGCCUUCCUGGGGCAGCCGCGGCUGCGAGGGCCGGCCGGUGGGACCGUCUUUUCUUCUGUUACCAACCACCUACUAAAACUGUUUAAAUGAGAAUGUCCUUGGCGCAGAGAGUACUCCUCACAUGGCUCUUCACAUUACUGUUCUUGAUCAUGUUGGUGUUAAAGCUGGAUGAAAAAGCCCCCUGGAACUGGUUUCUAAUAUUUAUCCCCAUUUGGAUUUUUGAUACCAUUCUGCUAGUUAUGAUUAUUGUGAAAAUGGCUGGCCGUUGCAAGUCUGGCUAUGACCCUCGCAAUGGCUCCCAGAACCUCAAAAAGAAAGCCUGGUAUCUUGCUGCAAUGUUGCUUAAACUGGCCUUCUGCCUGGCUCUGUGUGCGAAAUUGGAGCAGUUCACUGUCAUGAAACUCACCUAUGUUUUCAUUCCCCUGUGGGCCCUGCUUAUCGGAGGGAUGAUAGAACUUGGAUAUAACAUAUUCUGUGUCCGAAGGGACUAAAAGCCUUCAGCUUCUCAGCUGUCCACAUCACAUUCCUGAGCCAUGUUGGCUUGCUGCAAGCAGACUGUUCAUAAAAGAACUACAGAUGCAACUCUAUGUUAGAACUCGUGCUGUGGGCUUCAGUCUUUGGAACAUAGGUUUUCAUGUACAUAUUGUAAAUAAAACAGUCCCAUAAUUUUCUAAA
Heteronotia binoei (common prickly gecko) is the source of this 971-nucleotide RNA transcript. It is a transcript of the gene named transmembrane protein 60, with no coding region annotated. NCBI's taxonomy places the organism in Eukaryota, Metazoa, Chordata, Lepidosauria, Squamata, Gekkonidae. The transcript is spliced from 2 exons. The record is from RefSeq and is a predicted model, not a curated record.